UGGGGAAUAUUGCACAAUGGAGGAAACUCUGAUGCAGCGACGCCGCGUGAGUGAAGAAGGUCUUCGGAUCGUAAAACUCUGUCCUUGGUGAAGAUAAUGACGGUAGCCAAGGAGGAAGCCCCGGCUAACUACGUGCCAGCAGCCGCGGUAAUACGUAGGGGGCUAGCGUUGUCCGGAUUUACUGGGCGUAAAGGGUGAGUAGGCGGUUGCAUAAGUCAGAUGUAAAAGGCUAAGGCUUAACCAUAGUAUGCAUUUGAAACUGUGUGACUUGAGUACAGGAGAGGUAAGCGGAAUUCCUAGUGUAGCGGUGAAAUGCGUAGAUAUUAGGAGGAACACCAGUGGCGAAGGCGGCUUACUGGACUGUAACUGACGCUGAGUCACGAAAGCGUGGGUAGCAAACAGG
RNAcentral lists this ribosomal RNA (403 nucleotides) under uncultured bacterium. Its description in RNAcentral is "bacterial SSU rRNA". It matches the Rfam family "Bacterial small subunit ribosomal RNA", at positions 355 to 776 of the family's 1533-position model. The record is from RNAcentral.